RNAcentral lists this ribosomal RNA (117 nucleotides) under Megasphaera sp. BL7. RNAcentral's name for it is "partial 16S ribosomal RNA". It matches the Rfam family "Bacterial small subunit ribosomal RNA", at positions 1 to 111 of the family's 1533-position model. Lineage: Bacteria; Bacillati; Bacillota; Negativicutes; Veillonellales; Veillonellaceae. The record is from RNAcentral.
AUGGAGAGUUUGAUCCUGGCUCAGGACGAACGCUGGCGGCGUGCUUAACACAUGCAAGUCGAACGAGAAGAGAUGAGAAGCUUGCUUCUUAUCGAUUCGAGUGGCAAACGGCUGAGU